GACGAACGCUGGCGGCGUGCUUAACACAUGCAAGUCGAACGGAAAGGCCCUGCUUUUGUGGGGUGCUCGAGUGGCGAACGGGUGAGUAACACAUGAGUAACCUGCCCUUGACUUUGGGAUAACUUCAGGAAACUGGGGCUAAUACCGGAUAGGAGCUCCUGCUGCAUGGUGGGGGUUGGAAAGUUUCGGCGGUUGGGGAUGGACUCGCGGCUUAUCAGCUUGUUGGUGGGGUAGUGGCUUACCAAGGCUUUGACGGGUAGCCGGCCUGAGAGGGUGACCGGCCACAUUGGGACUGAGAUACGGCCCAGACUCCUACGGGAGGCAGCAGUGGGGAAUAUUGCACAAUGGGCGGAAGCCUGAUGCAGCAACGCCGCGUGCGGGAUGACGGCCUUCGGGUUGUAAACCGCUUUCGCCUGUGACGAAGCGUGAGUGACGGUAAUGGGUAAAGAAGCACCGGCUAACUACGUGCCAGCAGCCGCGGUGAUACGUAGGGUGCGAGCGUUGUCCGGAUUUAUUGGGCGUAAAGGGCUCGUAGGUGGUUGAUCGCGUCGGAAGUGUAAUCUUGGGGCUUAACCCUGAGCGUGCUUUCGAUACGGGUUGACUUGAGGAAGGUAGGGGAGAAUGGAAUUCCUGGUGGAGCGGUGGAAUGCGCAGAUAUCAGGAGGAACACCAGUGGCGAAGGCGGUUCUCUGGGGCUUUCCUGACGCUGAGGAGCGAAAGCGUGGGGAGCGAACAGGCUUAGAUACCCUGGUAGUCCACGCUGUAAACGGUGGGUACUAGGUGUGGGGUCCAUUCCCACGGGUUCCGUGCCGUAGCUAACGCUUUAAGUACCCCGCCUGGGGAGUACGGCCGCAAGGCUAAAACUCAAAGGAAUUGACGGGGCCCCGCACAAGCGGCGGAGCAUGCGGAUUAAUUCGAUGCAACGCGUAGAACCUUACCUGGGUUUGACAUGGAUCGGGAGUGCUCAGAGAUGGGUGUGCCUCUUUUGGGGUCGGUUCACAGGUGGUGCAUGGCUGUCGUCAGCUCGUGUCGUGAGAUGUUGGGUUAAGUCCCGCAACGAGCGCAACCCUUGUUCACUGUUGCCAGCACGUUAUGGUGGGGACUCAGUGGAGACCGCCGGGGUCAACUCGGAGGAAGGUGGGGGUGACGUCAAGUCAUCAUGCCCCUUAUGUCCAGGGCUUCACGCAUGCUACAAUGGCUGGUACAGAGAGUGGCGAGCCUGUGAGGGUGAGCGAAUCUCGGAAAGCCGGUCUCAGUUCGGAUUGGGGUCUGCAACUCGACCUCAUGAAGUCGGAGUCGCUAGUAAUCGCAGAUCAGCAACGCUGCGGUGAAUACGUUCCCGGG
RNAcentral lists this ribosomal RNA (1344 nucleotides) under uncultured bacterium. Its description in RNAcentral is "16S ribosomal RNA". It matches the Rfam family "Bacterial small subunit ribosomal RNA", at positions 28 to 1378 of the family's 1533-position model. The record is from RNAcentral.